UACAGGGGGGGCAAGCGUUGUUCGGAAUUACUGGGCGUAAAGGGCUUGUAGGUGGCCAACUAAGUCAGACGUGAAAUCCCUCGGCUUAACCGGGGAACUGCGUCUGAUACUGGAUGGCUCGAGUUUGGGAGAGGGAUGCGGAAUUCCAGGUGUAGCGGUGAAAUGCGUAGAUAUCUGGAGGAACACCGGUGGCGAAGGCGGCAUCCUGGACCAACACUGACACUGAAAAGCGAAAGCCAGGGGAGCAAACGGG
Molecule: ribosomal RNA, 253 nt
Filed under: uncultured bacterium
Lineage: Bacteria
Description: partial 16S ribosomal RNA
Rfam family: Bacterial small subunit ribosomal RNA
Source: RNAcentral